CAAUGAAGAAACAUUUCCUUUGUUACUUCCUUCCUUGGUGAUUGCCUGCCUUCUUCACCAAUAUACUAGAGUUACAGAAUGCGGUGAUAUGUACUUUACAAUGGGAUUAAAUAUGGCAACAUGGCUAGAUCUGCACAAAUCUGGAACUCUCGUUCUGUUUGUGCUAUGGAAGACUUCAUUUGGAUUCUAAGGACCUGGGAUGCCAAACGUCAGCAAGUGAAAUGUGCCUCCAUGAUACUAAUUCCUGAUCAUCACCAGAGGACCAGUUGAACAAUGCAUGAAAAAACAUCAUUAUGAGUGGCUAUAAUGAUAAUAGAAAGAUCAUCCUACUAGGAACGAGGAUAUUCUGUUUAGUUACAGCCUUUAAAAAAGCAGUGUAAACCUGAGACUUUGCAACUGGCAAGCAUUCUGGACCACAACAUCCCACAAUGCACUGGUGAUAACUUUCCUCCCAGACAGAUAUCAGCUAACCACAGUGUACAAUCAGCUGCCCACACUGGAAGACACAAAUCAGAAAACCACUGUUCCAUAAUCACAGAAUUGAAAGAACUGCAUACGUAAAAUGACAGGCUAUUAAUUCUGGUUUGGAA
Molecule: long non-coding RNA, 590 nt
Organism: Leopardus geoffroyi (Geoffroy's cat)
Lineage: Eukaryota; Metazoa; Chordata; Mammalia; Carnivora; Felidae
Exons: 4
Source: RefSeq, a predicted model, not a curated record